UCAAGUAUUAAUUUAUAGAGUUGUUAAUGUAAUUUGUGUUUUCACUAUUGAGAAUAGCAAGGUAAAUACAUGAGGACUAGAUGAUAAUCUGCGCGCAUGAGCGUAGUGAGUUUUUUAUACUAAUGUUUAUUUAUUAAUGGUUUCAAUAUUUUGCAAUACUACAAUUUUUAUACUACAAUCUUUAUCGAUUGUAAAAUGACGAAUACAAAUGUUGGUCUUUUAAAUAUAUCAUCGUUGUUGAAGAGUUAACGUAUUACAGCUCACAAAAAGAAAUUAUUUUAAUACUUCAUAUACACAAAAAGAAAUUAAGUUUAGCGUCUGAUACAAAUCACCAAAACCAGAUAGACAACAUCGGUGGUA
This 360-nucleotide long non-coding RNA is filed under the name Brassica napus (rape). Its description in RNAcentral is "long non-coding RNA (BNAP_LNC018521)". Lineage: Eukaryota; Viridiplantae; Streptophyta; Magnoliopsida; Brassicales; Brassicaceae. The record is from RNAcentral.